AAGCCCCGGCAGACGUUAAUCUGCGUCUUGAGAUUUGCAAUCUUACGUGUAUGCUCCACCACGGGGCU
RNAcentral lists this transfer RNA (68 nucleotides) under Yunnanilus longibarbatus. RNAcentral describes it as "tRNA-Cys". The record is from RNAcentral. Lineage: Eukaryota; Metazoa; Chordata; Actinopteri; Cypriniformes; Nemacheilidae.